This 253-nucleotide ribosomal RNA is filed under the name uncultured bacterium. Its description in RNAcentral is "partial 16S ribosomal RNA". It matches the Rfam family "Bacterial small subunit ribosomal RNA", at positions 524 to 776 of the family's 1533-position model. The record is from RNAcentral.
UACGGAGGGUGCAAGCGUUAAUCGGAAUUACUGGGCGUAAAGGGCACGUAGGUGGUGAUGUAAGUUGGUUGUAAAAGCCCCGGGCUUAACCUGGGAAAGCCAAUCAAAACUGCAUGACUAGAGUACAGUAGAGGGUAGUGGAAUUUCCGGUGUAGCGGUGAAAUGCGUAGAUAUCGGAAGGAACACCAGUUGCGAAGGCGGCUACCUGGACUGAUACUGACACUGAGGUGCGAAAGCGUGGGUAGCGAACAGG